CGUGAACUUCCGUAGGAGCCCGCCCGGGACCCGUACUCCGUCCGGCAGGCAAACGGCCACCCCACGCUUCCUAGGCGCGCAGCACAAACGGUCCGUGGAGAACUAACGCGUGCGCCCGGAGCCUCUCCUUGUGCCACCUUCUCAUCCCUUCCUCCCGUCCCUGCCCAUCCCCGCCGCCGGCGCCGAUCCGGUGUCUGUCCUUGUAUAUUGAGUUGCAUUCUCUAGGUUAUUUUUUAGGGCUGAGUAGUAUUCCACCGUACGGACCCAGCACAUUGCUUCUGCACGCGUGUCGCGUGGAUGAACCUUCGCGCUGUUUCCAGUCCAAAUAAAGCCGCCGGGAACAUUGCACGUUCACAUCCCUGGCUUGCAGAGCUGGAAACCUCCGACUCGAAAUGAGAAGGGAGAGGAACGUGCUAAUUCGGUGCAUACAGAAUCCUUCUACAAAAGAGUAAAGUUAAAAACCAGGGCCCUGGCAAGAAGGUACCAGCCAGAUGGGACGGGAUCGGACCGGAUGUGGUAAAAUCAGUGAGAUCGCUUGCACGACGUGGUGGCACCAGUGACAAUGGGAGAAGUUGACGGGCAGAUCUGACACAUUUGACACUUAGGAGGAAUACAGCUUGGCAAAAACACAUCCAAGGACACCACGUGUGAUUUCCUCCGCGCUGAUUUUGGAAGCUGGGAUGUUUCUGCAUACGCGCAUCAGCAACAUCUAAGCCAACACUCCUCUGGGCCUGUUUCAAACAGCACAUUGAUAUGCCCUGAGCUCUUCUCCGAGUGACCAAGGGCCCGCGUCCGUCCACCGCACUGUGAACAGCAGCGGGAAAGCCCUCGAGAACACAGAGGAAAUAGAUGCCAUGUUGUUUGGAAAUAUUUACAUUGGGAAGUCAUCACGUACGCAGAUUUUUUUUUUUUUUUCAUUUAAAGCUGUGGUUUUGCCCUUUAUCCAUAUUUUGGCUACGUUUGUUUUGUUUGGAUAGUGAAAGCACGUGUCAUUGUCAGCUGUUGUUGUUGUUGUUUUAAAUGUCUUUUGGCUUUCUGCAACAGCAAUGUCAAUUACAACAAAAUUAAAGAUGAGGUCUAAGGAAACAGUAAUUUUUGUGUUUGCCGCGCAGAACAUUUAUAAAAUUUACUUUUACAGCAGGAUUAGUAAAAACUGGAGCAAAAAUACUAAAGAUAGAUGAAGAAAAAAAAUACAAAGAACCUGGAAAAAAGAAAAGCAUUUCUGUUAAAUAUUUAUUGUUAUUUCGAGAGAGCUUAGGCGUACGUGUUUUUUUUUUUCUCACGUGGAUGUCAUAUUCAUAUUGCUCCUGUUUUAGUCUUAACUGUAUUCUUUAUGGUUUUCUUUUCUGCUUAAAUGCAGAGUUGCUCAGAUUGUUAUUUCUGUGUAAGAUAUGUUACCCAAUGGGGAGGGUUGAGAAAAAAUAAAAUGGUUUUCUUCAGCCAUUUAAUAUCGGGACUAUAAAUGACCUCUUCUACUUGUUCACUAAUAAACAGAAUGGUGAGGAUCCCAAGAAAAACAAAAUAAUCUGCUUGGUGAUCUUGGGGUACCCAUCAUGAAGGUCGAUAUUUGUACACGUGUCCUCCAGGCAUCAUCAUGAUCGUGUAUUUCAGGCAUGUUUCCUCAUCAUGAUUCAAUGUAAUUGUUGACUUUCAGAGAGAUUUUCUUCAGACAACGGGGGUAUGUUGGUGGCAGACACAAAGCUGGAACUUACUGACCCUAGGAGCUUUGAGAACAUUCUGCAAUUUACUGGCCACAGCACAGAAUUUUUUCUUCAGUACUACUUGGCUGACCGGAGUUCAAUGUCUCCUCUAGCUGAGUUCCAAAUGCUUUUGAAAGUAGUGGGAAGGUUAUGCCUCUGAGCACAGUCAAGAUAUUUAAGGUGAAACUUGUGUUUAUGUGUUUGUAUUUGUACAUGUGUGUAUAUGAGCGUGCAUAUGUGUUUAUGUACAUGAGUGUGUGUUAAGAAGAGGUUGAAGAAUUCCUUCUAGAAUGCAAAUAUUUUUUAUUUAACAUUACUUCUCAACAGAAUAAUGGAAUGAUUCAUUUUAAAUACUCAUAAGAGGAGAAUGUGUUUGCAUAUAUAGACUAUGCAAAAAUAUAUGUAGGAGACUAUAAUAAAAUGCAUUUAAAGAAAAUUUUUAAUGCUUUAUUUUUGAGACAGAGAGGGAUAGAGCAUGAACAGGGAAGGGGCAGAGA
Long non-coding RNA from Felis catus (domestic cat), 2197 nucleotides. RefSeq lists it as uncharacterized. The transcript is spliced from 7 exons. The record is from RefSeq and is a predicted model, not a curated record. Lineage: Eukaryota; Metazoa; Chordata; Mammalia; Carnivora; Felidae.